UACCAGCACCCCGAGUGGUCGGGACGUUUAUUGGGCCUAAAGCAUCCGUAGCCGGUUCUACAAGUCUUCCGUUAAAUCCACCUGCUUAACAGAUGGGCUGCGGAAGAUACUAUGGAGCUAGGAGGCGGGAGAGGCAAGCGGUACUCGAUGGGUAGGGGUAAAAUCCGUUGAUCCAUUGAAGACCACCAGUGGCGAAGGCGGCUUGCCAGAACGCGCUCGACGGUGAGGGAUGAAAGCUGGGGGAG
RNAcentral lists this ribosomal RNA (245 nucleotides) under uncultured bacterium. RNAcentral describes it as "partial 16S ribosomal RNA". It matches the Rfam family "Archaeal small subunit ribosomal RNA", at positions 474 to 719 of the family's 1478-position model. RNAcentral also lists the same sequence under 1 other name. The record is from RNAcentral.